GAAAUGCGAUAAGUAAAGUGAAUUGCAGAAUUCAGUGAAUCAUCGAAUCUUUGAACGCACAUUGCGCCCGCCAGUAUUCUGGCGGGCAUGCCUGUCCGAGCGUCAUUUCAACCAUCAAGCCCCCGGGCUUGUGUUGGGGACCUGCGGCUGCCCGCAGGCCCUGAAAACCAGUGGCGGGCUCGCUGUCACACCGAGCGUAGUAGCAAUCACCUCGCUCAGGGCGUGCUGCGGGUUCCGGCCGUUAAACAGCCUUACAAAACCCAAGGUUGACCUCGGAUCAGGUAGGAAGACCCGCUGAACUUAAGC
This 306-nucleotide unclassified non-coding RNA is filed under the name plant metagenome. RNAcentral describes it as "partial contains 5.8S ribosomal RNA, internal transcribed spacer 2, and large subunit ribosomal RNA". The stretch from base 1 to 105 matches the Rfam family "5.8S ribosomal RNA", at positions 50 to 154 of the family's 154-position model. The record is from RNAcentral.